RNAcentral lists this non-coding RNA (128 nucleotides) under Chlorobiota bacterium. RNAcentral's name for it is "Chlorobi bacterium SAM-I sequence". It matches the Rfam family "SAM riboswitch aptamer (S box leader)". From Rfam's summary of the family: The SAM riboswitch is found upstream of a number of genes which code for proteins involved in methionine or cysteine biosynthesis in Gram-positive bacteria. The SAM riboswitch acts at the level of transcription termination control. The predicted structure consists of a complex stem-loop region followed by a single stem loop terminator region. The record is from RNAcentral. Lineage: Bacteria; Pseudomonadati; Chlorobiota.
CGUUUAUCAAGAAAGACUUAGGGAUAAGGCCCUAUCAUAGUCUUAGCAACCCGCAUUGAGCUAAUAAACCGGCAAAAAAUGCGAAGGUGCUAAUUCCUUCUUCAACACUGGUUGAAGGCAGAUAAACA